Molecule: ribosomal RNA, 1094 nt
Filed under: Nemania sp. ARIZ FL1860
Lineage: Eukaryota; Fungi; Ascomycota; Sordariomycetes; Xylariales; Xylariaceae
Description: eukaryotic LSU rRNA
Rfam family: Eukaryotic large subunit ribosomal RNA (bases 507-1094)
Source: RNAcentral
GGAUCAUUACUGAGUUGUCCUCCGAGGACACUCCCUUUACACCCCUUGUGAACAUACCGUCGUUGCCUCGGUGGGCGCGUUACCACGCCCGCCGGCGGCCCCUUUACCUAAAUUCUGUUAAUCUUACUACUUCUGAACCUAUAACAAAUCAUGUUAAAACUUUCAACAACGGAUCUCUUGGUUCUGGCAUCGAUGAAGAACGCAGCGAAAUGCGAUACGUAAUGUGAAUUGCAGAAUUCAGUGAAUCAUCGAAUCUUUGAACGCACAUUGCGCCCGCUGGUAUUCCAGCGGGCAUGCCUGUUCGAGCGUCAUUUCAACCCUUAAGCCCCUGUUGCUUAGUGUUGGGAGACUACCGCGCCAUGCCGCGGCGGUAGCUCCCUAAAGCGAGUGGCGGAGCCGACCUGUGCUCUAGGCGUAGUAGAUUUUCGUCUCGCCUCUGUAAGUCAGGUCUGGUCUUUCCUGCCGUAAAACGAAGAGAACACACCUUGUUCUUUUUACCUCUAGGUUGACCUCGGAUCAGGUAGGAAUACCCGCUGAACUUAAGCAUAUCAAUAAGCGGAGGAAAAGAAACCAACAGGGAUUGCCUCAGUAACGGCGAGUGAAGCGGCAACAGCUCAAAUUUGAAAUCUGGCUUUCGGGUCCGAGUUGUAAUUUGUAGAGGAUGCUUUUGGCGCGGUGCCUUCCGAGUUCCCUGGAACGGGACGCCGUAGAGGGUGAGAGCCCCGUACGGUUGGCCACCAAGCCUCUGUAAAGCUCCUUCGACGAGUCGAGUAGUUUGGGAAUGCUGCUCUAAAUGGGAGGUAAAUUUCUUCUAAAGCUAAAUAUUGGCCAGAGACCGAUAGCGCACAAGUAGAGUGAUCGAAAGAUGAAAAGCACUUUGAAAAGAGGGUUAAACAGCACGUGAAAUUGUUGAAAGGGAAGCGUUUGCGACCAGACCUUUUCCUGGCGGAUCAUCCGGUGUUCUCACCGGUGCACUUCGCCAGGUCGAGGCCAGCAUCGGUUUCUGCGGGGGGAUAAAAGCUUGGGGAACGUAGCUCCUCCGGGAGUGUUAUAGCCCCUCGCAUAAUACCCUCGCGGGGACCGAGGACCGCGCU